AAUCCUUACCAAACCUGAUAAAACUCCGAAUGCCAGACAUAUUACUUCAACAGACAGACUGUGGGUGCUAAGGUCCAUGGUCGAGAGGGAAAGAGCCCAGACCACCAGAUAAGGUCCCUAAAUCAUGAUUAAGUGUGAAAGGAUGUGGAGAUUCCAUAACAGCCGGGAGGUUGGCUUAGAAGCAGCCAUCCUUUAAAGAUAGCGUAACAGCUCACCGGUCUAAUAGAGUUUCUGCGCCUAAGAUGUAACGGGGCUCAAAUCAUGUACCGAAUCUGUGGAUGUAUAAUUUCUUCGGAAAUUAUAUGUGGUAGCGGAACGUUCUGUAAGCCUGUAAAGGGAUACCCGUGAGGGAUCCUGGAGGUAUCAGAAGUGCGAAUGCUGACAUAAGUAACGAUUAACAGAGUGAAAAACUCUGUCGCCGAAAAUCCAAGGGUUCCUGCGCAAGGUUAAUCCGCGCAGGGUUAGUCGGUCCCUAAGACGAGGGCGAGAGCCGUAGUCGAUGGAAACAAGGUUAAUAUUCCUUGACCCGAUGGUAGUGACGGAUUUCGUAAAUUGUUAACUCUUAAUGGAUUGAGUUAGCCGUGAAGAAGUCCCAGGAAAUAGCUCCAUCAUAGGACCGUACCCUAAACCGACACAGGUGGAUUAUUAGAGUAUAAUUAGGCGCUUGAGAGAAUGAUGUUGAAGGAACUCGGCAAAAUGCCUCCGUAACUUCGGAAGAAGGAAGGCCCAAUUAUAGGCAACUAAUAUUGGGUGGCACAAGCUAGGGAGAAGCGACUGUUUAUCAAAAACACAGCCCUCUGCUAACACGUAAGUGGAUGUAUAGGGGGUGACGCCUGCCCGGUGCUGGAAGGUUAAUGCGGUUGGUGCAAGCUAACUUCUGAAGCCCCAGUAAACGGCGGCCGUAACUAUAACGGUCCUAAGGUAGCGAAAUUCCUUGACGGGUAAGUUCCGUCCUGCAUGAAUGGCGUAACGAUUUCUCCGCUGUCUCCAACAUCAACUCAGUGAAAUUGAAUUCUCCGUGAAGAUGCGGAGUUCCCGUGGUUAGACGGAAAGACCCCGUGCACCUUUACUACAACUUUAUAUUGGUGUUAGGAAUGACAUAUUUAGCUUAGGAGGGAGACUUUGAAGUUUUGGCGCCAGCCAAGAUGGAGUCGUCAGUGAAAUACCUCUUUUGUUAUUCUUGACAUCUAACUGCUAGCCGUAAUCCGGCAGCAAGACAUUGUAUGGUGGGUAGUUUGACUGGGGCGGUCGCCUCCCAAAAAGUAACGGAGGCGUGCGAAGGUAGGCUCAGAACGGUCAGAAAUCGUCGUAGA
Molecule: ribosomal RNA, 1313 nt
Filed under: metagenome
Description: bacterial LSU rRNA
Rfam family: Bacterial large subunit ribosomal RNA
Source: RNAcentral